Molecule: ribosomal RNA, 1193 nt
Filed under: uncultured bacterium
Lineage: Bacteria
Description: bacterial SSU rRNA
Rfam family: Bacterial small subunit ribosomal RNA
Source: RNAcentral
CCGGUGGGGGAUGGGGCAUGCGGCGCAUUAGCUAGUUGGCGGGGCAACGGCCCACCAAGGCGACGAUGCGUAGGGGUUCUGAGAGGAAGGUCCCCCACACUGGUACUGAGACACGGACCAGACUCCUACGGGAGGCAGCAGUGAGGAAUAUUGGUCAAUGGGCGCAGGCCUGAACCAGCCAAGUCGCGUGAGGGAAGACGGUCCUACGGAUUGUAAACCUCUUUUGUCGGGGAGUAACGUGCGGGACGGGUCCCGUAUUGAGAGUACCCGAAGAAAAAGCAUCGGCUAACUCCGUGCCAGCAGCCGCGGUAAUACGGAGGAUGCGAGCGUUAUCCGGAUUUAUUGGGUUUAAAGGGUGCGCAGGCGGCGCGCCAAGUCAGCGGUCAAAGUUCCGGGCUCAACCCGGUGUCGCCGUUGAAACUGGCGUGCUCGAGUGCGUGCGAGGAGGGCGGAAUGCGUUGUGUAGCGGUGAAAUGCAUAGAUAUGACGCAGAACUCCGAUUGCGAAGGCAGCUUUCCAGCGCGCUACUGACGCUGAGGCACGAAAGCGUGGGGAUCGAACAGGAUUAGAUACCCUGGUAGUCCACGCAGUAAACGAUGACUACAAGCUUUCCGGGGCGAAUGGGCCGUGGGAGGGCACAGCGAAAGCGUUAAUUAGUCCCACCUGGGGAGUACGCCGGCAACGGUGGAAACUCAAAGGAAUUGACGGGGGCCCGCACAAGCGGAGGAACAUGUGGUUUAAUUCGAUGAUACGCGAGGAACCUUACCCGGGCUCAAACGACAGCGGACAGCUCCCGAAAGGGAGUCUCCGGCAACGGCCGCUGUCGAGGUGCUGCAUGGUUGUCGUCAGCUCGUGCCGUGAGGUGUCGGCUUAAGUGCCAUAACGAGCGCAACCCCCAUCUCCAGUUGCCACCGGGUCGUGCCGGGCACUCUGGAGGGACUGCCAGCGCAAGCUGCGAGGAAGGCGGGGAUGACGUCAAAUCAGCACGGCCCUUACGUCCGGGGCGACACACGUGUUACAAUGGCGGAGAACAGAGGGGAGCCACGUGGCGACACGGAGCCGAUCCCAAAAAUCCGUCUCAGUUCGGAUUGGAGUCUGCAACCCGACUCCAUGAAGCUGGAUUCGCUAGUAAUCGCGCAUCAGCCAUGGCGCGGUGAAUACGUUCCCGGGCCUUGUACUCACCGCCCGUCAAG